Molecule: long non-coding RNA, 469 nt
Organism: Mastomys coucha (southern multimammate mouse)
Lineage: Eukaryota; Metazoa; Chordata; Mammalia; Rodentia; Muridae
Exons: 3
Source: RefSeq, a predicted model, not a curated record
UCCUGAAGACUCCUGGAGUGGACACAAGUUUUCUCUUGCCUUGACAGCUGGGCUACACCACACUCAGUGAGUUUACUUGUGAACUCUUCACUCCACCAAACCGAUGCCUUCAGAUUUCAGGAAGCAAGAUGUCAAUCAAAGAGAAUCCUAGCCAACCGUCCACAGUAUUCAGACCUCAUGUUAUCGAUCAAGCAAUUGCUCAAUUGUUCUAUCAAUUGCUACAACACCAGAGAGGCAAGUUCUGAAAGCUAGAAAAGCCUGGAUGUUUUUCAGCCCCAAAGUGGUCACAAGAUAUAAAAGCAGUCUCAGUGUGAAGGGCUUGUGUCUGGAAGGCAUCAUCCGGAGGCAGCAGGAGCUGUUGAGAAGUGGAGUUGAUCAAGAUGCAGAUGAAAGAGGAACCAACAUCUGUCCCAACACUGGGAGUAACUGGGACCAGCGGGACCAGGCACACAGGAACUCCACCAGCCCA